AAAUAGAUACCCGGGUAGUCCGCGCCGUAAACGAUGAGUGCUAGGUGUUAGGGGGGUCCAACCCCUUAGUGCUGAAGUUAACACAUUAAGCACUCCGCCUGGGGAGUACGACCGCAAGGUUGAAACUCAAAGGAAUUGACGGGGGCCCGCACAAGCAGUGGAGCAUGUGGUUUAAUUCGAAGCAACGCGAAGAACCUUACCAGGUCUUGACAUCCUCUGACAACCCUAGAGAUAGGGCGUUCCCCUUCGGGGGACAGAGUGACAGGUGGUGCAUGGUUGUCGUCAGCUCGUGUCGUGAGAUGUUGGGUUAAGUCCCGCAACGAGCGCAACCCUUGAUGUUAGUUGCCAGCAUUCAGUUGGGCACUCUAACGUGACUGCCGGUGACAAACCGGAGGAAGGUGGGGAUGACGUCAAAUCAUCAUGCCCCUUAUGACUUGGGCUACACACGUGCUACAAUGGGCGGUACAAAGGGCAGCGAAACCGCGAGGUGAAGCGAAUCCCAUAAAGCCGCUCUCAGUUCGGAUUGCAGG
RNAcentral lists this ribosomal RNA (530 nucleotides) under uncultured bacterium. RNAcentral describes it as "bacterial SSU rRNA". It matches the Rfam family "Bacterial small subunit ribosomal RNA", at positions 776 to 1304 of the family's 1533-position model. The record is from RNAcentral.